GAUAUACACAGAAGAGAGAAAGAAAACGUGAGAGUAAGAGGAAAAAAAAUACUCUUGACAAGAAAAUUAGUUUCUUGGUCUUUCACGUUUUAGCUACAGUUUUUGAGAAAAACUUUAGCAUAAUAUUUCCAUUCAAUUUGUUCGCGGGUUUCAUUUAUCAAAGAGUUGAUAGCAAGGAUCGGUCUCGGUGUGGAUACGCAUAGAGUCUUCGUACUAUCGAAGAAACUUUGAAAAGAAGCUCUCUUCACCAGGUACGUCUUAAAUCCUAUUUUUAUACGUAAAUAAAUUUUAAACACGAGAAAAUCUACCUAGGAUUGUUGUUGUCUUCCGCUGCGUGUUACGAACACCCAUACGCAAUCCUACAGUAGAUGUUACAGAAUGAAUUCAAGUGAUUUAGAGCUUUGAAGUGUCAAUAAAAGUCCAAAAAAUUAAACCCGGAUCAGAUCGGGGAUCAACGGAUGAUAGUUACAUUAAUAAUACAUCAAGAAAAAGUGUAUUAUUUAUAAUUAAUAAAUGUAUUAGUUAUAAUUAGCUUAUAGAUUGACACUACACUAAAUAUAAGUACAUAAGUAAACUACCAGAAAUAAGCUAAUUUGUGGGGGUUAUGAGAAACCCCAUUAUAAGGUCAUUUUGUUGCAUUUUCUUCAACCCUGCAAUAUAGUUCUUUUUGUGGCAAUUUUAUUGUGAGUGUUUGUGAUAAGCUCCCGCAAAUCGUAUUAACUUGUGGAGGUUUAUAAAUCACCGCAAUUCAAUAUAAUAUGUAGCAGUUAAUAAUCUCUACUUUACUGAAGGACGCUGAUCAAAAUGACCAAUUUAAUAUAAUGUAUGAUUAUUUCUAACCUCAAUAUAAAUUGAGUCAUUCUUCAAACUCUAUUGUGCUAUUAUAUUUUGAUAAUAGUUAAUUGAAAAGCUCUUAACUAAAUAUGCCGUUAUUAUAUCUUGUCUUUUCUUGAAUAAGAUUGCAAGAUUAGGUUUCUUGUUGAAUAAUGUCAGCUUUGAACAAUAAUUAAUAGAUUAAUCGCACAUACUUAAAAGAGGGGUUAGAGAUAACGGAGCUUUGACGCGUUUGAUGUGAGUCGUUUGAAUUGCUAGAGUUAGUUUGAGAGAAUAAUUGUAAAAAAUACUACUUUUAAUCGAGAAAUAAUUACGUUAUGAGAAAAUUUAUGAUCAAUAAAAAAUAGUUCGGUAAUAGAAAACACGUUAGACACUUGUUGAAAAAUACCUUUAUUUACUUAGUUACUUAUUUUUAUUGCUUUAACAUUUGUUAAUCAAUAGCUUAAAUACAAAUUACAAUUUUUAUAACUCUAGCUUUUGUUAUUUUAAUUUAUUAUUUGUUCGUAAUUUAGUUAUAUUUUCCAAUUUUUAAAUUUAAACAGUAUAAAGAAAAUAAAAGAGAAAAAUAGAGAAAAGAAAGAUCUAAAAGACGAUAUCAGCCACCAUCUUUAUAGCUUUUAAUCUGCACAUUAGGGGGUAAAUUGGUUAUUAGACUCAAAUUUAUAGAACCGGGAAAAUUUCUUCUUUUCUAAAGGCACAAUUAAGGGUGUAUUUUGUCCCGGGCCCGGGCCUCACGGGCCGGGCUUCGCGGUCUCGGGUUUCGUGGUCUGAGCUCUGGCGGUUCCAGGUCUGGCGGUUCCGGGUCUGGCGGUCCCUGUCUUCGUGGGCUCAAUGGGUAAGACCAGCACGUGACGGGCCUAGGCCCAUAUAGUCCUGGGCUAAGCGGGCCGGGCUUGGCGGGCCUGACGGGCUUUUUUUAAGGCAAUAUUUUGUAUAGUAGUUAUUAUUAUAAUAUAGAAUAUAUUUAUUAUAGUAUACUAGUUGUUAGUAUAGUAUAUAUAAUAUAUAUUUCAUUGUAUAUUUUAUUAUAGUAAUUAGUAUAUAUUGUAUGUUAUGUAUAUAUAUAUAUUCCCUUAUAUGAAUCCCUUAUAUAUUUUCUUAUAUGUUAUGUAUAUAUAUUCUCUUAUAUAUUUUCUUGUAGUAUAUAUAUUGUAUGUUAUGUAUGUAUAUUAACUUAUAUAGUUAUAUAUUUUGUUGUAGUAUAUAUAUUAUAUCUCUUAUGUAUAAUGUAUAUAUAUAUAUAUUUUGUUGUAGUAUAUAUAUUGUAUCUCUUAUUUAUAAUGUAUAUAUAUUCUCUUAUAUAUACUGUAUCUUAUGUAUAUAUGUUAUUACUUAUAUAUUUUCUUGUAGUUUAGGUUGUAAGAAAAUAUUGUAUGUUAUAUAUAUGUAUCUUAUGUAUAUAUAUUAACUUAUAUAUUUAUAUAUUUUGUUGUAGUAUAUAUAUUGUAUCUCUUAUGUAUAAUGUAUAUAUAUUCUCUUANNNNNNNNNNNNNNNNNNNNNNNNNNNNNNNNNNNNNNNNNNNNNNNNNNNNNNNNNUAUGUAUAAUGUAUAUAUAUUCUCUUAUAUAUAUUGUAUCUUAUGUAUAUAUGUUAUUACUUAUAUAUUUUCUUGUAGUUUAGGUUGUAUGUUAUGUGUAUAUAUCUCGUAUAUAUUUUCUUGUAGUAUUCCUUCCCCCAAUGUAAUGAGCACAACAAAGUACUAAUACCACCACUAAAAGAAAAAAAUGCUAAAAGAAGAUGUGCCAAAGUACAUGUUACAUCAUAAUCUACAUUGUAUCUAAAAAAUCUCAUAAAUCCGUCAAGGUUAGGAGGUUGUGUUGGUCUUGGUGGAAAAGAAGCUUGUUCAUCACCACUUCCGGGCGAACACGAAUCCUCCGCAAGUUCCGCUAUCAUUUCUUCAUAAGCUUCAUCUAUCGGCGGUUGUGAUUC
RNAcentral lists this long non-coding RNA (2763 nucleotides) under Nicotiana benthamiana. Its description in RNAcentral is "long non-coding RNA (NBEN_LNC022635)". The record is from RNAcentral. Lineage: Eukaryota; Viridiplantae; Streptophyta; Magnoliopsida; Solanales; Solanaceae.